UUGCUCUGAUGAUGGUCUUUAAACAUUUGCAGUUUCCUCCAGAAGGUUGGGUGUUGGGUAAACCAACCUUGGAUGUCUCAGGUU
This 84-nucleotide small nucleolar RNA is filed under the name Neogale vison (American mink). RNAcentral's name for it is "Neovison vison (American mink) Small nucleolar RNA SNORD14 (ENSNVIG00000020265.1)". Lineage: Eukaryota; Metazoa; Chordata; Mammalia; Carnivora; Mustelidae. The record is from RNAcentral.